This 253-nucleotide ribosomal RNA is filed under the name uncultured bacterium. RNAcentral's name for it is "partial 16S ribosomal RNA". It matches the Rfam family "Bacterial small subunit ribosomal RNA", at positions 524 to 776 of the family's 1533-position model. The record is from RNAcentral.
UACAGAGGGUGCGAGCGUUGUCCGGAAUCACUGGGCGUAAAGGGCGCGUAGGCGGUCUGAUAAGUAGGGGGUGAAAUCCUGUGGCUUAACUGCAGGGCUGCCUCCUAGACUGUUAGGCUCGAGCACGGUAGAGGCAGAUGGAAUUCCCGGUGUAGCGGUGGAAUGCGUAGAGAUCGGGAAGAACAUCGGUGGCGAAGGCGGUCUGCUGGGCCGUUGCUGACGCUGAGGCGCGACAGCGUGGGGAGCAAACAGG